RNA transcript from Magnolia sinica, 2530 nucleotides. RefSeq lists it as uncharacterized. NCBI's taxonomy places the organism in Eukaryota, Viridiplantae, Streptophyta, Magnoliopsida, Magnoliales, Magnoliaceae. The transcript is spliced from 9 exons. The record is from RefSeq and is a predicted model, not a curated record.
CCUCUCCCUCUCGCGCGCUCUCCCUCUCCGACUCCCUCCCUCUCUCUGCCUCUCCCUUUCCCUCUCCGCUCGCUCUCCCUCUCCCUCUCACUCUUUCUCAAAACCCUAGUCCUCUCUCUCCAUCUCCUCGGCCCUUUGCUGCAACAUCAGGUAUCUCCCUCUCCGCUCGAUCUACCGCACAUCAAGGAGCAUUCUGCUGCAACAUCAGCUCUCUCUCUCUCUCUCUCUCUCUCUCUCCCCCCUUAUCUAUUCAUAUCAAUUUGGGCUUUUUUUUUUGGCAUUUUUUAAUCCUUCAAGUAACAUUGUGCAAUGAUUUGUGUAUUGGGAAUUUUUGAGUUUUGAAUCCCUAAUUAGGGAUUUGUAGUGUCGAUUCCCUAAUUGUGGAUUAUAGAUUAAAAACUUGUGGUAUCCCUUUUUGUCUUUUUUUUUUUUUUUUGUUCUUUUUUAAACCAAGGGUAUUGUGCUGCAUUUAUUAUGAUGUUUUGAUUGAUUUCAUGCCUUUAUCUUCACCUGCAAUUGGAUCAUCUAGGAUUGUGGCAUGCUUCACAUUCAGUAUUUCACAACUGCAAAUAGCUGCAAUCAAUACCCUGUUUUCAGUGGAAUCCAUACUCUGUUUUUAGUAACCAAGCUGGUAAUCAAUGUAUGAUUGCUGGUCCCUGCACGUUAGAUACACUGGUUCUAACCACCUUUUAUUAUUGUUCACCGUCAGCCCUCAAUCGCUGUCUGUAAUCGAUAAUGAUUCCAGUGCUCGAUGUUGUUGGGUAGCAAUGCGUAGAUUGUUUUUGAAAGCUUUGUAUUUGGUGUUAGCGCAUUGAUUACUUGCUUGUCAUGGGCUGUUUGUUUUGGUUGUGGCAUAAUUGGUUGUAUGGAUUAUUUUUUGGCAUUAUAGAUACAUGUUAGUGCAUCAAUCAUUGAUAUCUUACGGGCCAAAGACCAUCUCUAGACACUAGGCUUGUGAUGUACAUGAACCCACUUUGGACCCUUUACCAGUUUUGCAAACAAACAUCAUGUGAAGAAUUAACUAGUAAGGAGUAGUCUGCCCCACCUGACUCCUUUGUUUUGUGAUUCGGGCGUGAGCAGCUAUAAUGGAUAAUCCCCUCCCGAGCUGUCUUUUGUAUGAUUCUUGCUAAGGCCGGUCCACUCGUCAGGAGCUACUUCCACGCUGGGAGAGCCUAGUGCUUCAAUAGGCAAUUCUGGGAAGACCCAACUUGCAUACAGAUGAUCUGAGAAUUCUCUUGUACAGACCAAGUUGAUAUCACUGACAGUAGCUACAUAGGAAAAGGCAUGUACAUAUGCUAGGAGCCAAUCAUAGCUUCUUUGAGGAAGAAGCUAAAGACAAAGAAGAAGAGGAAUACAAAGAAGAAUCUGAAGAAGAAACUGAGAAAAAGAAAGGCACACAGGGUGUUAAUGAGAUCGAAAAUCCUAAUUUGGUAAAACCAAAGAAUUCGAAAGCGAGAGAUGUUGAUACUGCUGCAGAGUGGGAACGUCGUAGAGAAAAUUUUGUCAAAGAGAUAGAUUUUGUUAUUGCAGACUUGGAAGCUUUGUCGGGCCUACGUUGUAUUUCGUAGUCAAUCAUCAAGCUGAGGAAUAUGGUGAUGGAUAAGAGUUGGAUUCGUAUGUCAAGGUACCUCACUAACUUCUCUUUCUAGUUGUUAUGGCCCAAUGGUUAAGAUGCAUUUUUUUGACAUGUCCUCCAAUUUCAUUGGAUGGUUUAGGGUGAGCAACGAAUACUUCAGUAGAGCCGUGAAAUUCCUAGAUGUUGCGUUUCUAAAUGCAAGCAAUAGAAGUAGGAUCCUAUGUCCAUGUAAGAAAUGCAACAAUAACUUCUGGGUAUCUCGACAAGAAGCAUACGAUCAUAUUGUGUGUGAUGGAUUUAAUACGAGUUACACCCAUUGGCGUUUUCAUAGAGAAGGUACGUCUUCUUUUAUGCCUGCUACUGCAAAUGUUGAAGUUGAUGAUCCGGAUCCAUGUGACAAUAUGCACGGAUUGUUGGAAGAUGUGUUUGGUGUUUCGUGCCCGGAUGGUCAAGAGAGUGAUACAGAAUAUGGACCUACACUGGGGCUUAAUACCGAAGCACAACAAUUUUUCAAAUUGGUGGAAGAUGCCGAUCAGGUAUUGUACCCUGAGUGCAAGAAGUUCACCAAACUAUCUUUUGUUGUUCGACUAUAUCAUGGCGCUCCCUUAGUUAUUGGCUUUGGUUUCUCUGUUCAAACCAGGCAAUGACUUUUGUUGUCACCUUUUCUAAUUUGGCGUCUACCAGAAAAUCAUUGUUUACUUUUUGUCACAGACUAGAAGAAAAGCUCUUGGACAUGAUAAUAUGCUAUGCCAAUUUGUUGAUCCCAUGUUCUGCACCACAUGUUUGAACAAUUUUGGAGGCUUUGGUGCCUGCGCUUUUCAUGGAUGUUUACAUUGUUGGAUUAAAUCAACUGUUUGACCUUGAAAUAGACAAGGUAUAUACUCCCGUAUGGAUGCUUUUGCCAUGCUUUCUAGACCAUACUGUCUACACUGGAAUCUUGCACAGAAGGAAGAA